This 468-nucleotide ribosomal RNA is filed under the name uncultured bacterium. RNAcentral's name for it is "partial 16S ribosomal RNA". It matches the Rfam family "Bacterial small subunit ribosomal RNA", at positions 28 to 507 of the family's 1533-position model. The record is from RNAcentral.
GACGAACGCUGGCGGCGUGCUUAACACAUGCAAGUCGAACGGAAAGGCCCUGCUUUUGUGGGGUGCUCGAGUGGCGAACGGGUGAGUAACACGUGAGUAACCUGCCCUUGACUUUGGGAUAACUUCAGGAAACUGGGGCUCAUACCGGAUAGGAGCUCCUGCUGCAUGGUGGGGGUUGGAAAGUUUCGGCGGUUGGGGAUGGACUCGCGGCUUAUCAGCUUGUUGGUGGGGUAGUGGCUUACCACGGCUUUGACGGGUAGGCGGCCUGAGAGGGUGACCGGCGACAUUGGGACUGGGAUACGGCCCAGACUGCUACGGGAGGCAGCAGUGGGGAAUAUUGCACAGUGGGGGGGAGCCUGAUGCAGCAACGCCGCGUGCGGGAUGACGGCCUUCGGGUUGUAAACCGCUUUCGCCUGUGACGAAGCGUGGGUGACGGUAAUGGGUAAAGAAGCACCGGCUAACUACGUG